ACAGAGGUCUCAAGCGUUGUUCGGAUUCAUUGGGCGUAAAGGGUGCGUAGGUGGCGGGGUAAGUCUGGUGUGAAAUCUCGGGGCUCAACUCCGAAACUGCACUGGAUACUGCCUUGCUCGAGUACUGGAGAGGAGAUUGGAAUUUACGGUGUAGCAGUGAAAUGCGUAGAUAUCGUAAGGAAGACCAGUGGCGAAGGCGAAUCUCUGGACAGUUACUGACACUGAGGCACGAAGGCCAGGGGAGCAAACGG
This 251-nucleotide ribosomal RNA is filed under the name uncultured prokaryote. Its description in RNAcentral is "partial 16S rRNA". It matches the Rfam family "Bacterial small subunit ribosomal RNA", at positions 525 to 775 of the family's 1533-position model. The record is from RNAcentral.